Molecule: ribosomal RNA, 460 nt
Filed under: uncultured bacterium
Lineage: Bacteria
Description: partial 16S ribosomal RNA
Rfam family: Bacterial small subunit ribosomal RNA
Source: RNAcentral
CCUACGGGUGGCAGCAGUGAGGAAUAUUGGUCAAUGGACGAGAGUCUGAACCAGCCAAGCAGCGUGAAGGAUGACUGCUCUAUGGGUUGUAAACUUCUUUUAUAUGGGGAUAAAACAGGGUAUGCAUACCCUCUUGUAUGUACCAUACGAAUAAGGAUCGGCUAACUCCGUGCCAGCAGCCGCGGUAAUACGGAGGAUCCGAGCGUUAUCCGGAUUUAUUGGGUUUAAAGGGAGCGUAGGUGGUUUGUUAAGUUAGUUGUGAAAGUUUGCGGCUCAACCGGGACAUUGCAGUUGAAACUGGCGGUCUUGAGUUCAGUAGCGGUAGGCGGAAUGCAUGGUGUAGCGGUGAAAUGCUUAGAUAUCACGAAGAACACCGAUUGCGAAGGCAGCUCACUGAACUACGACUGACGCUGAGGCACGAAAGCGUGGGUAGCAAACAGGAUUAGAUACCCCUGUAGUC